This is a long non-coding RNA of Junco hyemalis (dark-eyed junco), 234 nucleotides long. NCBI's taxonomy places the organism in Eukaryota, Metazoa, Chordata, Aves, Passeriformes, Passerellidae. The record is from Ensembl.
AGCCAAUGUUUUUGUUUGCUUGUAAUCUUUUCUUAGGGUGAGAAGGGAACUGUAGGUGACCCUGGACCCAGAGGACCAUAUGGCUUGCCUGGCAAAGACGGCGAGCCUGGCCUUGAUGGUUUCCCUGGUCCUCGAGGAGAAAAGGGUGAUAUAGGAGAAAAGGGAGAAAAGGUGACCAUAGUGUUCAUAACUGUUGCUUGAUUCCUCAGCUGAUCACUUCUGCUGUCUUUACGC